UCCCAUUAGCACAUGGCGGUUGACAAACUGCUCCACACACGCAAACAACUCUCAGGAACAGUGCGUUAGGAAUAACAGGGACUUGUAAAGGUGGUGUGGAGCUGAAGUUAAUGAACUAGAAAGCUAGAACCCAGUGGCAUGCUGAUCCAAUCUUGUGAGGACCAAUUCACCAAGUGGGAUGAUCACCGGCAAAGCAGAGUCCAUCUGUCGAGGUAUUUGAUUUCUUUCAUUCAUAUUCUCUCCCUUAAACUCUCCAUAUUAUGAAUUGAAGUAAACAUAAAGCAAAGGCCAAAAUCACAGCUGUGGAGCUGCUGGGUCCGUAUUCUUUUAUCUGUCUCAUCUGUAUGGCUUUUGAAAUUAGGGAAUGAUGAUUGAAGUUUUUUCCUCAUACUUUGAAGGAAUGGCUUGUUGCUUUUUAUUAGUAGUGCAUGUCCCAUCUCUUUCAA
This is a non-coding RNA of Cucurbita pepo subsp. pepo (vegetable marrow), 446 nucleotides long. The record is from RefSeq and is a predicted model, not a curated record. NCBI's taxonomy places the organism in Eukaryota, Viridiplantae, Streptophyta, Magnoliopsida, Cucurbitales, Cucurbitaceae.